GGCUCUUUCAGGCAAUGGGUUAAUAAUCAUCAAACUGAGUAAGAUCCCCACUCUCCUAGAACUUACAUACCAGUGAAGGGAGAGUUUAAGAAAACAAGGAGAGGUAAACCCUAGAGUGCUGUAUACCUACCAAGUGUGGAUUUUAGGGUGUGUAAAUUUCAUCCCAAUAAAGGUUAAAAAAGAAAAAGCCUUGGCCCACACUGGCCUUUGGGUUUGCCCAGAUACAGUUGACCCUCUGCCUGCCUCUUGUGUGCAUAGUGCUGCUGGCUGACACAUGUCUAACCCCGAAGCCCAUCUCCUGGAGAUUUGGGGUCAUUUGGGGACAUACACAGGGCAGUGGGACGUUUGGUUCACCCGACUAGCACAGCCCCAGCUGAAGGGGAGCCAGGCGACCCUCUGCCACCUGUUGCAGCUCCUGCUGUGAGUAAGCGGCCUUUUUGCCAUCUAUUUAGUGUCACGUUCUUUCAUCUUUGUGCUUUUUUUUUUUUUUUGUGACUUAGCUGCUUAAGAUGGCCCUGAUGUAUGGUGCUGGGCGUCGUCUUGGGAUCCUGAGCCCCGGAAGGUUGCCAUGGGCCUGGCUGAGACCCCUCAGGCCACAGUGUCAUUAGCCUCUUCAAGGUUCAUGCUUCAACAAGUGUGUUACAUUUGGCGUCUCACGUAAACCAAGAUUCCGCAUUCAUCGGUUGAUGGAGCUGUUGUGACCAGAGGCCUGUAGAAACCUAACCCCGUGUUCCCCUAGGAGCAGUGGUCCAGUGUCACUAGGGUCAUGGUGACUUCCCAGAAUGGAGUGACUGUGAUUCAUCUUCUGCCCUAUUGUGUUAACUCCUGUGUCAAUAGCUGUUUCCCUUAAUUCGGGAUAUAACCUCUUGCGUAGGACAGUGUUCCUUCAUGCACCAUUUUAGUGGGUGUGUGUGUAUCUGAGUUGGGGCAAAUUGAGACAAAAACACAGCGUUUUUCCUUUUUUUUUUUUUUGUCUUUUCUAGAGCCAUACCCGAGGCAUAUGGAGGUUCCCAGGCUAGGGGUCUAAUCAGAGCUGUAGCUGCCAACCUACACCAGGGCCACAGAAACACCAGAUCCAAGCCGAGUCUGCAACCUACACCACAGCUCACAGCAACGCCAGAUCCUUAACCCACUGAGCAAGGUCAGGGAUUGAACCUGCAACCUCAUGGUUCCUAGUCGGAUUCGUUAACCACUGAGCCACAAUGGGAACUCCCAGCUUUCUUCCUUUAAUUGAAGUAUAGUUGAUUCACAAUGUUAUAUUAGUUUCAGGUGUACAGCAAAGUAAUACAGUUAUACAUUAUAUUUCUUUAGAUUAUUUUCCAUUACAGGUUAUUAUAAGAUAUCGAGUUCCUUGUGUUAUACAGUAGGUCCUUGUUGUUUAUUUACUAUAUAUCUAUAAUUAUAGUAGAGUGUAUCUGCUAAUCCCACACUCCUAAUUUAUCUCCCCCCCCUUUUCCCUUUGGUAACCAUAAGUUUGUGUUCUGUGUCUAAAAACACAGCUUUUUAAUUUGUUUGAAACAGACUUUCUGCCUGUUACAUUUUGUGCAUUUAACCUGUGAAGCCCAUGGCAUUUUCAGUUUUAUCUUGCCAGGUUUCCCACUAGUAAAUCCCUCUUGAUUCAUUUGUGCCCUUUGAUAUUUUCUAAAAUUUUUUUCAAUAGCAAGAAUAAAGAUAUAAAGAAAAAAAGUCCGUACAUCUGUAUACACUCUCACAGAGAGCCCAUUGUAUUUAGGUGAGCAUUUAGUGUUCAGUCUUAGGGGUAACCUUAUAGGAAAUAGUGGAAGCACUAUAAGUGUAAGAUGUUUUCGUGGCAUAACCAUUUAUCUCUGUGUUAACAUCAGUAAACAAAAGAUUGACCUACACGUUUUCUAUGUCUCCAUACUUUGAAUACUUUCAUGUACACUAAGUAGAUGUGUGCCUUAGUCUGUAUGUUCUUGAAACCACUAUUUGAUUCAGAGAGCCAAAAAAAAAAAAAGUGAUUUAAAUGGUAUUUAAUAAGUUGCCGUUCUUUUACUAAGUGAAGUCAGGAAGAGAAAGACAAAUACCAUACGAUAUCACUUAUAUGUGGAAUCUAAAGUAUGACACCGAUGAAUUCAUUUGCAAAACAGAAACAGACUCACAGACAUAGAAAGUAAACUUAGGGUUACCAAAGAGGAAAGGUGGAGAGGGAUAAAUUAGGCGUUUGGGAUUAGCAGAUACAGACGACUCUGUAUAAAAUAGCUAAGGUCCUACUGCAGAGCACAUGGAACGGUAUUCAUUAUCCUGUAAUAAACCAUAAUGGAAAAAAAUAUGUAUAACUGAAUCCAUUUGUUGUACACCAGAAACUAACAUACCAUCGUAAAUCCACUGUACUCCAAUUAACAAUUUUUCAAAAAGUUGUAGCUCUUUUACCAUUUUUUCACUCUUUAAUCCCUUGUGUUAAGUGGUAUCAACACAGUUGAAGUUAUACUGUCAGAGUAAAAUGAAGUAAGUUCCAAGUGGAUACAAGCAUAGGAAAAGCUCUCAGAAUUGUCCCCACGACAUGUGGAGGGAGACGUGAUUCAGGCUGGCAAGAGGAUGGAAGACCAAGAACACUGGGUGAAAUUCGUUUUUUACGUGUUUCUGAGUUGUUUCUGUUUUUUUAUACAAGACGUGUGUCUCUUGAAGUGAAAAUAAAAACUGACUUACAGCGUAAGCUGAUUAAAUGAAAUGAGUUUUGUGGAGGACACGGACCUGGCGGGAGGGACCUGCUUUGUGAGGCUGGGGGGCGCGGAUGUCCCCCACGGGCCUCUCGGGCUGGGCUGCCCGUGGCUGCUCUGGGGAGCCUGGCUGCCCACCGAUGCCCGCAGGGGGCAGGGUUAAUUGACUGGGGGUGGCUCCCCCAGGGGUUUUGACGUGCAGCCAGGAUUGGACUCCAGUGCUCUGAUGUAUCUUAGGAAUGUAUUCUGGGCCAGCUUCAGGAGCCUGUCUGGGGGCUCACACAGUUGGUGGGGGGGUGGGUCUGUGCUCCAGGAUGGGGCCGUGGGAACACCAUCGGAAGAGUCUGGUAGGCACACGACACUGACCAGCUUUUCUUCCAUCCUCCUCCAAGACGCAGUGCCCAGGAGAGGGUGUUGGAUGGGCUGGGGAGAGGGUCUGGCCCCUUCCCUCCUCCCAGGAGGAUGGUGGUCACGAGUGAUACAGUGAUACUCCCCUGCUUGUCCCCCAGCCACAUAACUGGGGAGAGGUGUCUCAGGAAAUCCUGGAGCUGUUGGGAAAGGGCGGGGGGUGCAGGUCAGUCAGAGCCCACAGAGGUCUGCUUUACUCCACCAACUUAAAAGACGAGUGUUUCCUGAAUGAAAUGGAGAGAUUGUGCCUUGAGCAUGGUACAGUGUGUGGUAAACGUUCUCUCCUUGCCUCCCUGCCUGCCUUCCAUUUCAUCCAGCUUCCUCUGACCCUCCCUCCUAGGGGUUGUCAGCCCCAGAAGACGAGAUUGGCUCCAAGGAUUCGUGGCACACAGUGUAGAGUUAGGUAGUGGGUCCAGGAUGGCGCUUGAGGGUGGAGUUCAGGCAUGGAGAGAUCAGGCUGGGGUGUGGGUGGUGGGGGCUUCAUGGAGGGCUCUGGUGUUAGCAGCCAGUAGGUGUUGAGGCAUGACUGUGGGUGACCAGUGGGCGAACUAGAGGAUAGCUCAGUGAUGGCCCUGGAGUGGCCCCACUAGAGAAAGGAAGCAGAUGUGGGUUGGGGAUGCAGGCCAGAGCAGACUCCGCCUUUAUUUUUUAUUAAAAGUAUGGUUGAUUUACAGUGUUGUGCCAGUACAGCAAAGUGAGCCAGUCAUACAUGUAUACCCUCUUUUUCUCAUAAUCCAUCAUGUUCCAUCACAGGAGACUGGAUAUGACUCCCUGUGCUAUAUACAGUAGGACCUCAUUGCUUAUCCAUUCUAAAUGUAAUACUUUACAUCUGCCAACCCCAAACUCCCAGUCCAUCCCACUUCCUAUCCCCUCCCCCUUGACAACCACACGUCUCUUCUCCAUGUCCGUGAGUCUGUUUCUGUUUUGCAUAUGGGAUCAUUUGUGCCAUAUUUUAAAUUCCACAUAUAAGUGGUAUCAUAUGCUGUUUGUCUUUCUCUUUCUGACUUCACUUAGUUUGAGAAUCUCUAGUUCCAUCCAUGUUGCUGUCAAUGGCAUUAUUUUGUUCUUUUUAAUGGCUGGGUAGUAUUCCAUUGUGUAUAUAUACCACAUCUUCCUAAUCCAUUCAUCAGUCAAUGGACAUUUAGGUUGUUUCCAUGUCUUGACUAUUGUGAAUAGUGCUGCAGUAAACACAUGUCUUGACUAUUGUGAAUAGUGCUGCAAUAAACACAUGUAUCUUUUUGAAUUGUGAUUUUGUCUGGAUAUAUGCCUAGGAGUAGGAUUUCUGGAUCAUAUGGUAGCUCUGUAUUUAGUUUUCUGAGGAACCUCCAUACUGUUCUCCAUAGUGGUUGUACCUGCUUACAUUCCCACCAACAGUGCAGGAGGGUUCCCUUUUCUCCACACCCCCUCCGGCGUUUGCUAUUUGUGGACGUAUUAAUGAUGGCCAUUCUGACUGGUGUGAGGUGGUACCUCAUUGUAGUUUUGAUUUGCAUUUCUCUCAUAAGUAGUGAUGUUCAGACUCUGCUUUUGAUUUUGCAUUUGGGUAGUUACUUGGAAGGGUGCGAGGCUCAAUGAGGCAGCACCAUUCCUGACAUCAAGGAGUGCUCCUGGGAGCUCCCGGCGUGGCGCAGCAGAAGUGAAUCUGACUGGCAUCCACGAGGACGAAGCUUCAAUCCCUGGCCUUGCUUAGUGGGUUGAUGAUCCAGUGUUGCUGCGAGCUGUGGUGUAGGUGGAAGACGAGGCUCAGAUCCAGCGUUGCUGUGAGCUGUGGUGUAGGCC
This 4862-nucleotide long non-coding RNA is filed under the name Sus scrofa (pig). RNAcentral's name for it is "lncRNA (ENSSSCG00065033795.1)". The record is from RNAcentral. Lineage: Eukaryota; Metazoa; Chordata; Mammalia; Artiodactyla; Suidae.